This is a long non-coding RNA of Felis catus (domestic cat), 403 nucleotides long. RefSeq lists it as uncharacterized. NCBI's taxonomy places the organism in Eukaryota, Metazoa, Chordata, Mammalia, Carnivora, Felidae. The transcript is spliced from 2 exons. The record is from RefSeq and is a predicted model, not a curated record.
AAAGUCGGAUGCUCAACCAACUGAGCCACCCAGGUGCCCCUCUUGGCUAAAGCUUCUUCUGCAGCUGCCACUGAGGUGGAGGACGCAUUACUGUCCCAGCUAAAGCAAACAGCAGCGGUCGCUUCGGUUUCUAAUCGUGACCACCUCCGACUGACAGCCGGGCCGAGACUUCUGCUGAGAAAGAAAACAAACACGUGAGAGGAAAGAAAGAAGCAGAACUUUGAGUCGGGCUUAUCUUCAGGACACAUUCAAUUGAGGGGAGAAGCUCCCUCCUUUUUUUUUUUUUUUUUAAGCAAAGAAAGGUCAACUGUUAAUCAUCUUGGGAAAUGUGAAAGCCAAUGUGGUAAAACUAUGGCACGUUUUAAUGGGCAAAAAAAAUAGCUGACAUAGACUCUACAGGCCA